This is a non-coding RNA of Rattus norvegicus (Norway rat), 1062 nucleotides long. The record is from RefSeq and is a predicted model, not a curated record. NCBI's taxonomy places the organism in Eukaryota, Metazoa, Chordata, Mammalia, Rodentia, Muridae.
ACUAUAAAAUGUUUUCAAGGUCCUGCUAAGUAGUGCAGGCUAUCCUGGGAUUUGCCCAGGCCAGCCUCAAAAUCCUACGUAAUCAUAAUUCACACUUGGAAAACCGAGUCGCAAGCAGCUGAAGUAAUAUUCCCAUAUUUAUCAAGUUAGUAUGAGUAAGGACCCUGGACUUGAACUCAGGGCUUUCUGGGUGGCCACCUGGUGACACAGAAGCCACUGGAGGUGUUCCAGAUUAUCCCGAGGCCAGCAUGUAUGGGCAUGUAUGGCUAAGGCUACGCUACAAAGAGGCCGUCCGCUCUGAUUCACAGGUGAACUCACCUUGCCUUAUCUUCUGUGAGGUAACAAGUGGACAAAUACCUUCAGACGGCUCCACAUGACACAUACAAACAAACCAGCUAUGGCAUGCGGAGCCGGGCAGACUAGAGCACCGGCUCUCCCCACUCUCUUACACAAAGCUCUUUUUGUGACAUCACAGUGCUGCGUCAGCGGAGACACUCUCUGGAAACAAACUGACACCAUUAAACCCAUCUCCGUAAGUUCUCCUGGCCGCACGGAUGCUCUGAUCUAAGAUCAAAACCUCUCUCUCCUGUUGACUCUGGGGACUUUAAGCCUUUUAUUCGCUUUGCCUCCCACACCUGUAAAAAGCUGGCUUUGUCAAAAGCUCAGAACGCCUGCACACUCAGUUCACAAUUUCUGUUCCUGUGGGCAACCUGUCCCAUUGGUCUCUACUCCUAAGUAAAACUCAAGACGGAUUAGUCUCACUACUGUUUGUUGUUGCUGCUGCUGCUGCUGUUUUGAGACAGGGUUUGGGGUAUACUGGGCGAGCCUGGAACUCGAUAGGGAGCUGACGUGAUCUCCAACUCCUGGUCUUCCAGAAGCUGGGGCUGUAGGAGAGCUCGCCAUACCCAGGGCCUUCCUCCGACAUCUCCACCACUAUGUGACCGGCUUCGAUAGGUGGUUCUGGCUGUCCCGGCACUUCCUGUGAAGACAAGGCUAACGUCAAGCUCGGAGCAAUUCUCCUUCCUUGGCCUUCCGUGCCAGAAUUACAGGUGUGGGACACCA